This 253-nucleotide ribosomal RNA is filed under the name uncultured bacterium. RNAcentral's name for it is "partial 16S ribosomal RNA". It matches the Rfam family "Bacterial small subunit ribosomal RNA", at positions 524 to 776 of the family's 1533-position model. The record is from RNAcentral.
GACGAACCGUGCGAACGUUGUUCGGAAUCACUGGGCUUAAAGGGCGCGUAGGCGGGCCACCAAGUCUGGGGUGAAAGCCCCCGGCUCAACCGGGGAAUUGCCUGGGAUACUGGUGGUCUGGAGGGAGGUAGGGGCAGCGGGAACUUCCGGUGGAGCGGUGAAAUGCGUUGAUAUCGGAAGGAACGCCGGUGGCGAAAGCGCGCUGCUGGACCUCUUCUGACGCUGAGGCGCGAAAGCCAGGGGAGCGAACGGG